UGGGGAAUAUUGCACAAUGGGGGAAACCCUGAUGCAGCGACGCCGCGUGAAGGAUGAAGUAUUUCGGUAUGUAAACUUCUAUCAGCAGGGAAGAAAAUGACGGUACCUGACUAAGAAGCCCCGGCUAACUACGUGCCAGCAGCCGCGGUAAUACGUAGGGGGCAAGCGUUAUCCGGAUUUACUGGGUGUAAAGGGAGCGUAGACGGCAGUGCAAGUCUGAAGUGAAAGCCCGGGGCUCAACCCCGGGACUGCUUUGGAAACUGUGCAGCUAGAGUGUCGGAGAGGCAAGCGGAAUUCCUAGUGUAGCGGUGAAAUGCGUAGAUAUUAGGAGGAACACCAGUGGCGAAGGCGGCUUGCUGGACGAUGACUGACGUUGAGGCUCGAAAGCGUGGGGAGCAAACAGG
Molecule: ribosomal RNA, 404 nt
Filed under: uncultured bacterium
Lineage: Bacteria
Also listed under: 1 other name
Description: bacterial SSU rRNA
Rfam family: Bacterial small subunit ribosomal RNA
Source: RNAcentral